This 322-nucleotide long non-coding RNA is filed under the name Sorghum bicolor (sorghum). RNAcentral describes it as "long non-coding RNA (SBIC_LNC017974)". The record is from RNAcentral. Lineage: Eukaryota; Viridiplantae; Streptophyta; Magnoliopsida; Poales; Poaceae.
ACACACCCAUGAUCAAGACACACAUACACAUACAAAUAAAUUACUGACUCUUACACUAAGAGUUACACAAAAACAUGCUUUUCGUCCACCAAAAAAAUUACUUCAUCAUGAGUCUCUCUCACUCCAAAGUUUCAUAUGAAGAUAUGCGCUAUUCUAAAAAAUAGAGAAGAAUCCUUGCUAAAAGGAAUGAGAUAGAAAAAAAUCGUGCCAAGGAGCUUGACGAAAAGAAAAGAAAAAAUAAAGAUAGCCCAUACUUUCCAAUAAAAGACAUUCAUCCAAAGAGAGAGAGUCAUGAUUGAAUGGAGCACCAAAAAUACUUAGA